CCUACGGGGGGCAGCAGUGAGGAAUAUUGGUCAAUGGACGAGAGUCUGAACCAGCCAAGUAGCGUGAAGGAUGACUGCCCUAUGGGUUGUAAACUUCUUUUAUAAAGGAAUAAAACGAGGCACGUGUGCCUUUUUGCAUGUACUUUAUGAAUAAGGAUCGGCUAACUCCGUGCCAGCAGCCGCGGUAAUACGGAGGAUCCGAGCGUUAUCCGGAUUUAUUGGGUUUAAAGGGAGCGUAGAUGGGUUGUUAAGUCAGUUGUAAAAGUUUGCGGCUCAACCGUAAAAUUGCAAUUGAUACUGGCAGUCUUGAGUACAGUUGAGGUAGGCGGAAUUCGUGGUGUAGCGGUGAAAUGCUUAGAUAUCACGAAGAACCCCGAUUGCGAAGGCAGCUUACUAAACUGUGACUGACAUUGAUGCUCGAAAGUGUGGGUAUCAAACAGGAUUAGAUACCCCAGUAGUC
This 460-nucleotide ribosomal RNA is filed under the name uncultured bacterium. RNAcentral's name for it is "partial 16S ribosomal RNA". It matches the Rfam family "Bacterial small subunit ribosomal RNA", at positions 338 to 795 of the family's 1533-position model. The record is from RNAcentral.